RNAcentral lists this ribosomal RNA (393 nucleotides) under uncultured bacterium. Its description in RNAcentral is "partial 16S ribosomal RNA". It matches the Rfam family "Bacterial small subunit ribosomal RNA", at positions 523 to 918 of the family's 1533-position model. The record is from RNAcentral.
AUACGGAGGACGCGAGCGUUAUCCGGAUUCAUUGGGUUUAAAGGGUGCGCAGGCGGCCGUGCAAGUCAGCGGUGAAAGCCCGGGGCUCAACCCCGGAAGUGCCGUUGAUACUGCGUGGCUGGAAUGCGGUCGAGGCGGGCGGAACGUGGGGUGUAGCGGUGAAAUGCGUAGAUAUGCCACAGAACGCCGAUAGCGGAGGCAGCUCGCCAGGCCUGCAUUGACGCUCGGGCACGAAAGCGUGGGGAUCGAACAGGAUUAGAUACCCUGGUAGUCCACGCCGUAAACGAUGGGCGCUCGUCGUCGGCGGCAGACAGUCGGCGGCCAAGCGAAAGCGAUAAGCGCCCCACCUGGGGAGUACGGUCGCAAGGUUGAAACUCAAAGGAAUUGACGGGG